Clostridium celatum DSM 1785 is the source of this 47-nucleotide non-coding RNA. The record is from Rfam. Lineage: Bacteria; Bacillati; Bacillota; Clostridia; Eubacteriales; Clostridiaceae.
AAAAAGGUGCUAUUAAGCACCUUUUUAUAUAAAGUUAAGAAAUUACU